UUCCGGUUGAUCCUGCCGGACCCGACUGCUAUCAGAGUGAGAUUAAGCCAUGCGAGUUAACGUAGCAAUACGUGGCGCACGGCUCAGUAACACGUAGUCAACAUGCCCAGAGGACGUGGAUAACCUCGGGAAACUGAGUCUAAACCGCGAUAAGUGAGGAUUUCUGGAAUGGUUCCUGACCAAAAUCUAUAUGGCCUCUGGAUUGGACUGCGGCCGAUCAGGCUGUUGGUGAGGUAAUGGCCCACCAAACCUGUAACCGGUACGGGCUCUGAGAGGAGGAGCCCGGAGAUGGGCACUGAGACAAGGGCCCAGGCCCUAUGGGGCGCAGCAGGCGCGAAACCUCUGCAAUAGGCGAAAGCCUGACAGGGUUACUCUGAGUGACUUUCGCUAAGAAAGUCUUUUGGCACCUCUAAAAAGGGUGCAGAAUAAGGGGUGGGCAAGUCUGGUGUUAGCCGCCGCGGUAAUACCAGCACCCCGAGUGGUCGGGACGAUUAUUGGGCCUAAAGCAUCCGUAGCCGGUUCUGCAAGUCCCCCGUUAAAUCCAGCUGCUCAACAGAUGGGCCGCGGAGGAUACUACAGAGCUAGGAGGCAGGAGAGGCAAGCGGUACUCAGUGGGUAGGGGUAAAAUCCGUUGAUCCAUUGAAGACCACCAGUGGCGAAGGCGGCUUGCCAGAAUGCGCUCGACGGUGAGGGAUGAAAGCUGGGGGAGCAAACCGGAUUAGAUACCCGGGUAGUCCCAG
Molecule: ribosomal RNA, 740 nt
Filed under: uncultured archaeon
Lineage: Archaea
Description: bacterial SSU rRNA
Rfam family: Archaeal small subunit ribosomal RNA
Source: RNAcentral